AGCGGGACCAGCUCAGCACACGACAGAAAGCUGGAGCACCGUCACCCCCUCCGCGCCUCCCCCAAAGCAAAGGGUCGCUUGGUGCGGCCAGCUGGUCCUGGCGUGUGUCUAGGCUCCGUGUCCCCGUCCACUGGCUGACAGCGUCCUGCUCUCCUCUCCUCCACUCCCCUCUAGUCCCUUGCCCCGGCAACAGAGCCUACUUGGGCCGGCUUGGCUGCUGUGGUGCCUCUGGAACUGAAUGGAAAGGCUGGCUCGCACAAGUGAAGCCCUGGCCCAUGGGCGUGCAUGCUCCCUGGCAGGCAGGCUCUUGAGAAUAUAGGAGGUAUGGAGUUGCCCAAUCAGUGACCACUUCCUGUAGUACAGAUAUGAGGGUCUCAGGAAGUGUGUGGAGAACAAAUUUAGAUGGGAAUACCCGCUUAGAAGUUUUGAGGAUCCCUUCCUGGGUUCCCAAUACUGCACAGGACACAGUCCUGUAUUUUCUCUGAUAGUCUCUCAGUGCAAGUCAGAAAAUAGGAAAUGGCAUUUGCUCUAGGCUUAGCAAUUAGACUCCAACGAAACUCAGAUUUCCUUUUGGCUCUUUUUAGAGUGUAUAGACUUUGGAAGGUCUUUGUCGGGGUCUCUGACGUCCCUGUGUGGCGCUGUGCGCGCGCCGUCCGAGGGCGAGCUUCAUGCUGAUGCUCCCGUAGGAGGGCGGCGAGAUGGCACUGUUCUUUUCGUGUUCCUGGUGCUGCUCUGACUGACUUGUUCAGACGAGCAUGGCUUUGGAUCUGACAGAAGUUAAAGUACCAUUUUGUAGGCCCUUGUUUCUAUGUUUAAGAUGCGAGUAGGUGGAGGUACUUUGCCGAACAUGUGAGCGGCAAAGGGAAGCGGGAGGGAUGGGGAGGGAGGCACGUGGCCCCUGUGUCUGAGGGCGCCCCGGGGACCCGGCUUUGCCCGCCUCUGGGUGAUUUUGAGGGUGCGUUUACCUCCCUUCUGGCUUUCUAGCAGGGUGGCACCAGGGUGUGCCGGCAGUCCCCCUUCGGGGAGGCUGGACGGGGCGGGAGGAUGGGGAGUGCUGGAAUGGGAAUGAUGGUUGGCGACGGUCUGUUGGCUGCUGAGAAGGCGUGUCUCGCGCACCCUAUAGUUGCUCUUCUCAGGGGGUGAUCCAUUUGCACCCCCAAGAUUGUCUUCUAUCCCGUUUUAUUAGAAAUUGCCCAGGUCCAAGUAAAAGCCUGCGUGUCACACGUUUCAAUUAUCCAUGGAACCGGAGGACUCAGAGAGAAGGCAGCCACACUGAUCAGUAGGAAAUACCAGCCGCUGUUUCCAAGUUUGGUUUUGUUAGAGAAAUCGGUAUUUCUCCUGGGUUUAAUUUAGCCUGGUUUCCUGUUUGUUCACUGUGUGGUCACUAGGUCACAGGCUGUCUGCAGAUGGAGGAGAGUCCACAUCUUGGCCCAUCACGUUCAAGGGAGAAGAGAGGCAACGUUUUCAUUAAAACUCACAUUUUAAAAUUUAUGUAUCUAUUUAAAAGUCAAAGUUACAGAGAAUUGUUCCAUUCCCCCAAAUGGCUACAAGUGCUAGAGCUGGGCAGGUCCAAAGCUGGCAGCCAGGGUCUUCCACCUGGUUGUAGGGCUGGCCAGUACAUGGGCCACCCUCUGCCACUUUCCAAGACCAUUAACAGAGAGCUGGAUGGGAAGUGGAACAACUGGGACUUGAACUGGCACCGAUAUGGGAUGUUGGCACUUCAGGUGGAGGCCUAACUUGAUACACUGCAGCUCUGGCCCCCACAUUCAGCAUCUUUAUGAUAGUGUUGCUCGCCUAAGAAACACGUUGAAAGUAAAAAUGCUAAUGUGAAAUAUUCUCGUUACAGGUGAUGUUGUUUUUACACCCUUGACUUGUGUUUAACUUUUAAGUAAUAGAUCGUGCAGAUAUUUACGAGUGGUUUUGCAGAAGUUUGUAUGUUCUUGUCUAAAAUCAGAGCCUGUAGCAUGGAGCUGAGUUCUUAGGUAGAUCAUGUGUGGUGACAUCUUUCUUAGAUGUUGUUUCAUUUGCUUCCAUUUGUACACACAUUCUUUUAGCAGUGUUAUGUCUUUGGUUUAAUUACAGCUGCAUUGCUUUUAAUGGAAGACUAAUCUAGUAUAGGUCUGUUAAUUAUUUUUGACAUCUGCCCUGAUUAAGUCAGCUUAAUUUUCUGAGACUUGAAGCAAUGAUCAGUAGAGGAGGGAGAGAGAAGCUCAUCCUCCAUCAAGUGAAGUUUGCUGGCCGCUGGACAGAGAACGAAAUCUGUCAUGUGUCAGCCACGUACUGAGCACAGAGACGGCCUGGGAAGGAGUGAGUGAAGCCUUGCAACAAGCACCUGCUGUCUGUAGGGAUGGCUGCGAGGUCUUGAGAUAUUCUCCAGCACAAAUAAUAAUCUAAAAUACAACCACACUGUGAAACUCCACUAUGUGGUUAUUGAUGUUCUAUAGGGAUCUCAGAAAGCGACUGGAACUAUAAAGCAGUUGGUGUUUGACGGGGUAUAAAUAGAGCACUUUU
Long non-coding RNA from Ochotona curzoniae (black-lipped pika), 2511 nucleotides. RefSeq lists it as uncharacterized. Lineage: Eukaryota; Metazoa; Chordata; Mammalia; Lagomorpha; Ochotonidae. The record is from RefSeq and is a predicted model, not a curated record. The transcript is spliced from 2 exons.